GACGAACGCUGGCGGCGUGCUUAACACAUGCAAGUCGAACGGUAAGGCCCUUCGGGGUACACGAGUGGCGAACGGGUGAGUAACACGUGGGUGAUCUGCCUGCACUUCGGGAUAAGCCUGGGAAACUGGGUCUAAUACCGGAUAGGACCACUGCCUGCAUGGGUGGUGGUGGAAAGCUUUUGCGGUGUGGGAUGGGCCCGCGGCCUAUCAGCUUGUUGGUGGGGUGAUGGCAUACCAAGGCGACGACGGGUAGCCGGCCUGAGAGGGUGACCGGCCACACUGGGACUGAGAUACGGCCCAGACUCCGACGGGAGGCAGCAGUGGGGAAUAUUGCACAAUGGGCGCAAGCCUGAUGCAGCGACGCCGCGUGAGGGAUGACGGCCUCCGGGUUGUAAACCUCUUUCAGCACCGACGAAGCGCAAGUGACGGUAGGUGCAGAAGAAGGACCGGCCAACUACGUGCCAGCAGCCGCCGUAA
RNAcentral lists this ribosomal RNA (477 nucleotides) under uncultured bacterium. RNAcentral describes it as "partial 16S ribosomal RNA". It matches the Rfam family "Bacterial small subunit ribosomal RNA", at positions 28 to 523 of the family's 1533-position model. The record is from RNAcentral.